CCCUUAGAUGUUCUGGGCCGCACGCGCGCUACACUGACAGAGCCAGCGAGUUUUUUUCCUUGGUCGGAAGGUCUGGGUAAUCUUGUGAAACUCUGUCGUGCUGGGGAUAGAGCAUUGCAAUUAUUGCUCUUCAACGAGGAAUACCUAGUAAGCGUGAGUCAUCAGCUCGCGUUGAUUACGUCCCUGCCCUUUGUUCACACCGCCCGUCGCUACUACCGAUUGAAUGGCUUAGUGAGGUCUUGGGAUUGGCUUCGAGGAACCGGCAACGGUACCUUGUUGCUGAGAACUUGAUCAAACUUGGUCAUUUAGAGGAAGUAAAAGUCGUAACA
This 329-nucleotide ribosomal RNA is filed under the name uncultured eukaryote. RNAcentral describes it as "partial 18S ribosomal RNA". It matches the Rfam family "Eukaryotic small subunit ribosomal RNA", at positions 1470 to 1796 of the family's 1831-position model. The record is from RNAcentral.